AACUCUUCCUGGAUUCACAAUUAUAAGUCCAAGACAAGCAGACUGUCCAGCUCUAUACAUAGCAGAUUUAAUCAUUCCAGGCUCAAACCAAUGGGACCUGCCGAUGUUAUAUGCUACUUUCACUCCAGAGGAAUGUUGAGAAAUCAUUAAAAUUCCUAUUGGUUCACAUCUGAAGGAAGCUAUUAGAGUGUGGCACUUUUCGAGAUCGGGCACUCCUACUGUUAAAGCUAUUUAUCAUAGGCUGAAACAAUUGUAAGCUAUUCUGCAACAAGCAGCACUCUUA
RNAcentral lists this unclassified non-coding RNA (283 nucleotides) under Hevea brasiliensis (rubber tree). The record is from RNAcentral. Lineage: Eukaryota; Viridiplantae; Streptophyta; Magnoliopsida; Malpighiales; Euphorbiaceae.